AUUGAACGCUGGCGGCAUGCCUUACACAUGCAAGUCGAACGGCAGCACGGGAGCAAUCCUGGUGGCGAGUGGCGAACGGGUGAGUAAUACAUCGGAACGUGCUCGGUAGUGGGGGAUAACCCGGCGAAAGCCGGACUAAUACCGCAUACGACCUGAGGGUGAAAGCGGGGGAUCGCAAGACCUUGCGCUACAGGAGCGGCCGAUGUCAGAUUAGCUAGUUGGGGGGUAAAGGCCUACCAAGGCGACGAUCUGUAGCUGGUCUGAGAGGACGACCAGCCACACUGGGACUGAGACACGGCCCAGACUCCUACGGGAGCAGCAGUGGGGAAUUUGGACAAUGGGCGCAAGCCUGAUCCAGCCAUGCCGCGUGCGGGAAGAAGGCC
Molecule: ribosomal RNA, 383 nt
Filed under: uncultured bacterium
Lineage: Bacteria
Description: bacterial SSU rRNA
Rfam family: Bacterial small subunit ribosomal RNA
Source: RNAcentral